CAGUAGCCGCGGUAAUACGCAGGGUGCAAGCGUUAAUCGGAAUUACUGGGCGUAAAGCGUGCGCAGGCGGUUAUAUAAGACAGAUGUGAAAUCCCCGGGCUCAACCUGGGACCUGCAUUUGUGACUGUAUAGCUAGAGUACGGUAGAGGGGGAUGGAAUUCCGCGUGUAGCAGUGAAAUGCGUAGAUAUGCGGAGGAACACCGAUGGCGAAGGCAAUCCCCUGGACCUGUACUGACGCUCAUGCACGAAAGCGUGGGGAGCAAACAGGAUUAGAUACCCCAGUAGUCCCUGUCUCUUAUAC
Molecule: ribosomal RNA, 301 nt
Filed under: uncultured bacterium
Lineage: Bacteria
Description: partial 16S ribosomal RNA
Rfam family: Bacterial small subunit ribosomal RNA
Source: RNAcentral